UCACCUCAAAACUCUGGUGUUCUGAUCGCUUGCCUGAAGAUGUACCAAAGGCAUUGAAUAAAACUCCGCAGGAUUUGCAAUUUGACUAUGUUGAUCUCUAUCUGAUACAUUGGCCAGUGAGUGAAAAAAGGGGAGCUAUGGUUGUUAAGGGGGAAAACCUUACGCAACCGGACAUCCCUGCAACAUGGAGAGUAGUGGAGGCACUCUGUGAUUCCAGUAAGGCUAAGGCUAUUGGAGCGAGUACUUUCUCUGCAAAGAAGCUCCGGGAUCUAUUGGAAGUGGCGCGUAUAACUCCUGUGGUCAAUCAAGUCG
Molecule: long non-coding RNA, 312 nt
Organism: Hibiscus syriacus
Lineage: Eukaryota; Viridiplantae; Streptophyta; Magnoliopsida; Malvales; Malvaceae
Exons: 3
Source: RefSeq, a predicted model, not a curated record